Molecule: ribosomal RNA, 366 nt
Filed under: Salmonella enterica
Lineage: Bacteria; Pseudomonadati; Pseudomonadota; Gammaproteobacteria; Enterobacterales; Enterobacteriaceae
Description: bacterial SSU rRNA
Rfam family: Bacterial small subunit ribosomal RNA
Source: RNAcentral
AACCUGGGAACUGCAUUCGAAACUGGCAGGCUUGAGUCUUGUAGAGGGGGGUAGAAUUCCAGGUGUAGCGGUGAAAUGCGUAGAGAUCUGGAGGAAUACCGGUGGCGAAGGCGGCCCCCUGGACAAAGACUGACGCUCAGGUGCGAAAGCGUGGGGAGCAAACAGGAUUAGAUACCCUGGUAGUCCACGCCGUAAACGAUGUCUACUUGGAGGUUGUGCCCUUGAGGCGUGGCUUCCGGAGCUAACGCGUUAAGUAGACCGCCUGGGGAGUACGGCCGCAAGGUUAAAACUCAAAUGAAUUGACGGGGGCCCGCACAAGCGGUGGAGCAUGUGGUUUAAUUCGAUGCAACGCGAAGAACCUUACCU